UACGGGGGGGGCAAGCGUUGUUCGGAAUUACUGGGCGUAAAGGGCUCGUAGGUGGCCAACUAAGUCGGACGUGAAAUCCCUCAGCUUAACUGGGGAACUGCGUCUGAUACUGGAUGGCUUGAGUUUGGGAGAGGGAUGCGGAAUUCCAGGUGUAGCGGUGAAAUGCGUAGAUAUCUGAAGGAACACCGGUGGCGAAGGCGGCAUCCUGGACCAAUACUGACACUGAGGAGCGAAAGCCAGGGGAGCAAACGGG
RNAcentral lists this ribosomal RNA (253 nucleotides) under uncultured bacterium. Its description in RNAcentral is "partial 16S ribosomal RNA". It matches the Rfam family "Bacterial small subunit ribosomal RNA", at positions 524 to 776 of the family's 1533-position model. The record is from RNAcentral.